UAGGAGGCGGGAGAGGCGGACGGUACUCCGCGGGUAGGGGUAAAAUCCUUUGAUCCGCGGAAGACCACCAGUGGCGAAGGCGGUCCACCAGAACGCGCUCGACGGUGAGGGAUGAAAGCUGGGGGAGCGAACCGGAUUAGAUACCCGGGUAGUCCCAGCCGUAAACGAUG
This 170-nucleotide ribosomal RNA is filed under the name uncultured archaeon. RNAcentral describes it as "partial 16S ribosomal RNA". It matches the Rfam family "Archaeal small subunit ribosomal RNA", at positions 593 to 762 of the family's 1478-position model. The record is from RNAcentral.